This is a long non-coding RNA of Equus quagga, 1102 nucleotides long. RefSeq lists it as uncharacterized. NCBI's taxonomy places the organism in Eukaryota, Metazoa, Chordata, Mammalia, Perissodactyla, Equidae. The record is from RefSeq and is a predicted model, not a curated record. The transcript is spliced from 5 exons.
GCUCCACCACCCCACCCCCACUCCCAACAUACAUGCAUAAACACAAACAAACAUUUGGUAUUUGGGUGGCAGUGCCCACUGCUGGAGCUCUUGCCAGCCCAAGUCUGGGUCUCAUCUGCCUGGGGCGACAGGCAGAGAGGCUAGGGAGCUGGGAUGGGGGGUGGGGUGGCUUUGGAGCCAUCCAGAGAGAAUUAGCAGGGAGACUAGCAGCUGAGGCCAUGGCCUAGGCCAAGCCUGCCUCCUCAGUGCCAGAGAGAUAGGCUGCCUUAACCCCUUCCUGCCCUCCCACCGCCUCAGAGAGAAGCCUGCUGUGGCCUAAAGAUCCCAUCACUUUAUUCCAAAACAACCUUUUCUGGAAACAGCUUCUGCUGCCUGGGUGAUGCUUAAAGAUCUUUUUAGUAACAAUAAAAAUUCCGGAGACACCUGUAAAGAUAGGAGAAACUGAGGGGCCAAAAUGGACCCUGGGUGACAUUGGUGACCCAUCUGGAAGCAGGCAUUGGUUAACCAAGGAGAAGGAGACAGACUCUCUGGGUCUAAGAACUACGGUCCCCAGGAGAAUUUUCAGUCAACGUGGAAAUGCCAAGGAGGAUGAGGAGGUCUUUCCGAGAUUCAACAGGGUCUUCAUGAAAUCUCUGAAAUAUCUGUAUUGUGUUGGUCCCCCAAGUUUCUUUUGUGAAGAUGGGAGCAACAUGUGAUAUUCCCACUUCCUCUUUUUAAAACCAUCGCUGGGCUGUCAUUUCAGCAACAUCUUAACAAAUGAAAAUCCUCCUCUGAGUCAAUAGUAAUUAUAGGAAUUUAUCACAAUUGCCAAUCAAGGUGUUCUGAAGAGACUCAUCUUUCUUGUUAAAUUAGCUUUCACUGCACGCAAACAGUGAGUUAUCUUUAGGAAAUCAAUUGCAGGGAAAUUACAGCUUUCAUGGAGUGAUAUAACCUUGCCAACCGUCUUGUUAUACAUAAUUCCUCUACCAAAAAAUUCAGCUGGGCUCCUGUGACUUAUUUUCAGGGAUUAUAUUUCAAAGCAUGAAAUGUGGAAAAGUCAACUUCUAAAGGCCCAGGAUGGAGGUGGAGGCAAUGACCUUGGGAACGUCCCAAGACACUUGUA